AUUGAACGCUGGCGGCAGGCCUAACACAUGCAAGUCGAGCGAGCGGCGGACGGGUGAGAAAUAUCUGUGAGACUGCCCGAUGGAGGGGGAGAACACCUCGAGACGGUAGCUAAUACCGCAUACCAUCAGAGGUGCCCAGAUGGGAUUAGCUAGUAGGUGGGGGAACGGCUCACCUAGGCGACGAUCCCUAGCUGGUCUGAGAGGAUGACCAGCCACACUGGAACUGAGACACGGUCCAGACUCCUACGGGAGGCAGCAGUGGGGAAUAUUGCACAAUGGGCGCAAGCCUGAUGCAGCCAUGCCGCGUAUGUGAAGAAGGCCUUCGGGUUGUAAAGUACUUUCAGCGGGGAGGCGUUACCCGCAGAAGAAGCACCGGCUAACUCCGUGCCAGCAGCCGCGGUAAUUC
Molecule: ribosomal RNA, 406 nt
Filed under: uncultured bacterium
Lineage: Bacteria
Description: partial 16S ribosomal RNA
Rfam family: Bacterial small subunit ribosomal RNA
Source: RNAcentral